RNAcentral lists this ribosomal RNA (253 nucleotides) under uncultured bacterium. RNAcentral describes it as "partial 16S ribosomal RNA". It matches the Rfam family "Bacterial small subunit ribosomal RNA", at positions 524 to 776 of the family's 1533-position model. The record is from RNAcentral.
UACGUAGGGUGCGAGCGUUAAUCGGAAUUACUGGGCGUAAAGCGUGCGCAGGCGGUUCGCCAAGUCAGGUGUGAAAUCCCCGGGCUUAACCUGGGAAUUGCGCUUGAAACUAGCGGGCUUGAGUGUGGCAGAGGGGGGUGGAAUUCCACGUGUAGCAGUGAAAUGCGUAGAGAUGUGGAGGAACACCGGUGGCGAAGGCGGCCCACUGGAUCGGUACUGACGCUGAGGUGCGAAAGCGUGGGGAGCAAACAGG